GAUGAACGCUGGCGGCGUGCCUAAUACAUGCAAGUCGAGCGAACGGACGAGAAGCUUGCUUCUCUGAUGUUAGCGGCGGACGGGUGAGUAACACGUGGAUAACCUACCUAUAAGACUGGGAUAACUUCGGGAAACCGGAGCUAAUACCGGAUGAUAUUUUGAACCGCAUGGUUCAAAAGUGAAAGACGGUCUUGCUGUCACUUAUAGAUGGAUCCGCGCUGCAUUAGCUAGUUGGUAAGGUAACGGCUUACCAAGGCAACGAUGCAUAGCCGACCUGAGAGGGUGAUCGGCCACACUGGAACUGAGACACGGUCCAGACUCCUACGGGAGGCAGCAGUAGGGAAUCUUCCGCAAUGGGCGAAAGCCUGACGGAGCAACGCCGCGUGAGUGAUGAAGGUCCUCGGAUCGUAAAACUCUGUUAUUAGGGAAGAACAUAUGCGUAAGUAACUGUGCACAUCUUGACGGUACCUAAUCAGAAAGCCACGGCUAACUACGUG
This 497-nucleotide ribosomal RNA is filed under the name uncultured bacterium. RNAcentral describes it as "partial 16S ribosomal RNA". It matches the Rfam family "Bacterial small subunit ribosomal RNA", at positions 28 to 507 of the family's 1533-position model. The record is from RNAcentral.